ACUCAUACCUUGCAGGGAAAAUACUGUGGUCAUGAAAAUGGAUUUUUCAGGGUAAGGCUCAUCCAUUGCACUUUAGGUGUGCUGCUCCCUAUGAUUUUCCCAAGUGUGAGGAACUCAACUGCAUAAUUUAUGUUAAUGGGGGGUUGCAUUUGUGAACUCCCUGG
RNAcentral lists this small nuclear RNA (164 nucleotides) under Pogona vitticeps (central bearded dragon). Its description in RNAcentral is "U1 spliceosomal RNA (ENSPVIG00000005433.1)". It matches the Rfam family "U1 spliceosomal RNA". Rfam says of the family: U1 is a small nuclear RNA (snRNA) component of the spliceosome (involved in pre-mRNA splicing). Its 5' end forms complementary base pairs with the 5' splice junction, thus defining the 5' donor site of an intron. Lineage: Eukaryota; Metazoa; Chordata; Lepidosauria; Squamata; Agamidae. The record is from Rfam by way of RNAcentral.